UAUCAAAUCAUUUUACCAUUUUGUAAGUUGAGAAGCUGCUGGUAAAUUUCUGGAACUGUUAUUGUCUCAACAAUCCUGAUUUAUUGACCCUGAGUGUCACAACAAAGGCUAUAUAAAUAUCAGUUAUACACUCACUUGAAACUUCACGCUGUUACACACGAUCUUGUAUUUGCAGAACAAUCAGCACUCCGCUAUAGCUCUCUAUAGCCUAGCAUUUUGUCACAUUUCAGGAAUUUUCUUGUACUGAUGUUUUUCUUACAAAUGUUACAAAGCAACGUGCUGCUUGUCGAAGGAAGUCUUGGAUUACUAUCAAUGACGUCACUAUCACGUGGGGAUCAUGUGGGUGAUAGGAUUGAAGCGUGAACUAUAUGUCAGACAGAAGUUUGAACAGUGAUGUUUGCUUCACUAUAAAAGAGAUGAUAAACGAGUGUUACUGUCAUUUCAAAAUUAAUCACCGGGAAACGAAUUAAGAUUAUUAAAGGUAUCAAACGGAUACAGAGUUAAAAUGAAGGUUUUUACAUUUUCAACAUUCGGACUUCUUCUGUUCGUGAUAUCCAGUGUAUUGACGUUUCCCUCUUUUCAAAUAAGAGAAAGUUAUCACAAGCAAACUAAAAGUUUACGUGUCGGAUAUUGCCAAGAAAACGAGGCUGAACAUACAAACUGUUAUGUGUGUGCAAGACUAUAUCAAAGUUAUGAACUUUACGUAGACUGUUGUGACAGAAGACCUACAUCAAUGGUACAAAUAUGCCAAGCUCAACUGCCAACAUGGAACAGUUUAUAAUGGCUUUUGGUAUGUCAAAUGGACUGCUGAAAAAAAUAGCGGCAAUCUCGCUUAUGUAAUGAAUCUCACUAUUCCUCAACAUUCCUCUAAGAAAUUUGGUGAUAAAACUCGACAAUAAGUUCAGCGAAGAUUUAUGAUUGAAAACUGUAAUGAUUCGUAUGAUGUGUAAAAACAAGUGUUUAAAACUAGCAAGAUUUAAAAAAAUGAUUUUAUUACAGAGACACGUGAUACUUAUUUCAAGACUUAGUUUUAUCAUAAAGAUAUCUUGUGCACAAAUAAAAAAAGACAAAUAAUAACUUUGUUAAUAGUUCAUUCAACAAUACAGAAAAUAAUUCAUAAUUAUUUGUUAUUGUCUUAGAAGAUACUAAAUUGUUAUUUUUGUAUUAAAAAAAUUAUUCAUACAUUUGUUGUUUGUACAUUUUAGAUUAUUUUCAUGUUUAACAUAUUGACAGUAUACAAGCUUAGAACAUAACAAAAAACGAAUUCAAAUGUAAUUUUUAAUUGGAAGUCCGUAUUUAUGCACACAAUGGAAUUAGUCAAAUAUAGAUGUAAUAGAACGAGUACAUAUCAGCACCAGAUGACAUAACACAAAUACAGAUAUCUGUUUCUAUCCAGUGCAAGAUGGUCAUUAAAAAUUGAAAAAAAUAUCAUUGUUACUUUCCUAAAAUAGUCUUAGUGUUCAGCGAAGUAGUUAACUUUUAUUAAGCACGAAGUUCAUGAUUGUAAUUAACGGACACGAAUAUAUUGAACGCCCCUCGUUUCUAUAUAAAAAUAUGAUGCAAAUAAUUCCACAAUAAU
Molecule: long non-coding RNA, 1579 nt
Organism: Ruditapes philippinarum (Manila clam)
Lineage: Eukaryota; Metazoa; Mollusca; Bivalvia; Venerida; Veneridae
Exons: 2
Source: RefSeq, a predicted model, not a curated record